RNAcentral lists this ribosomal RNA (382 nucleotides) under uncultured eukaryote. RNAcentral describes it as "partial 18S ribosomal RNA". It matches the Rfam family "Eukaryotic small subunit ribosomal RNA", at positions 592 to 976 of the family's 1831-position model. The record is from RNAcentral.
CAAUAGCGUAUAUUGAAGUUGUUGCGGUUAAAAAGCUCGUCGUUGGAUUUCUGUUGAGGUCGAACAGUGCCGCCCUAUGGGUGCACAACUGGCUCGGCUUCGGCAUCUUCUUGGAGAGCGCAUCUGCACUUAACUGUGUGGAUCGUACUUCAAGUCAGUUACUUUGAGGAAUUGUGAGUGUUUCAAGCAGGCUUACGCCGUUGAAUCCGUUAGCAUGGAAUAAUAGGAUAGGACCUCGGUUCUAUUUUGUUGGUUUUGAGAGCUGGGGCAGCGAUUGAUAGGGACGGAUGGGGGCGUCCGAACUUUACUGUCAGAGGUGAAAUUCUUAGAUCGGUCAAAGGCGAACUACUGCGAACGCAUUCGCCAAGAAUGUUUUCUUUAA